Molecule: long non-coding RNA, 242 nt
Filed under: Nicotiana benthamiana
Lineage: Eukaryota; Viridiplantae; Streptophyta; Magnoliopsida; Solanales; Solanaceae
Description: long non-coding RNA (NBEN_LNC008932)
Source: RNAcentral
UCUAAUUCUUCUUUCUAAUAGUAAAUAAAUUCAAGGGCCUUUGAGCUUGAUCUUGAAUCUAUAUUUGUUUUCGCGAAAGAUGAUCUUGUUCUUGAUCUUGAGCUUGAGCUUGAUUGCUUGAACUUGAUCUUGAUUCAUGAGUUUGAACUUGAUUUCUUGAACUUGAACUUGAUUGCUUGAAGCUUGAAACUUGUAGAGAAAUUUGCGGCGUUUGAUCCACGAGCUCUCUCUUGCUUCUUGUU